RNAcentral lists this long non-coding RNA (5617 nucleotides) under Coffea arabica (coffee). RNAcentral's name for it is "long non-coding RNA (CARA_LNC005686)". The record is from RNAcentral. Lineage: Eukaryota; Viridiplantae; Streptophyta; Magnoliopsida; Gentianales; Rubiaceae.
CAAGUCAAGAUGAAUUCGUAAAUCAAUCUCACUUUUAUUGAAUAAACUUCAAUGAUACAGAAAUGGGAAAUGGCGGGAAAAGGGAAGAAGGGGAAGAAGAAUGCAGGAAGUAACUUGGGGAGGAAACAAGGAUAUUCUCCUUCUGGUUACAAAUUCAAAAAUGGAAUUCAAUCCUAACAAUUACAUAAUUUCCCUUUUAAUAGAAAACUAAUCUAACUAACUCCUCCCACUUGCUAAUGAAACGGAAUUGCAUGUGAGGAGGAAUCUUCUGGAUGGUCUGGUGCAAUCGUAGCAAGGAUGGCAUGAACCCAGAGAAGGCGUGUUUUCCAGUUCACGCCUCCUGCGUUCCUCGCGCCUUUCCCUUCCUUGCUUUCACGCCUUCGUCUUCUUGAUGAAAUGCUGAUGAUCGUUCUGCUUAGUUCACGUCUUCUUCAUCCCACUUCACGCCUGAUCACGUUUUCCUCUAUUUGUACUUCACGCCUUCUAUUUUCCUGUCCUUUGUUUCAUUACAAUACCUCCCCCUUAACUGCAAAUCUUGUCCUCAAGAUUGAAAUGUAGGGAACUGCGCUUUGAUCUCCUCAGCAUCCUCCCAGGUGGCUUCUGCAGGGUCUGUUCCCCACCAGUGGAUCAGCCAUUGAGUUACCGCAGCAUUCUUCUUUUUCACCAUUCUUCUGCCCAAAAUUGCCUCUGGUUCCACUCUCCAGUGCCCCUUCUCAUUUAUCUCUGGUAAAUGGAGGAUAGGAGUGACUCUGUUUCCUACCUUCCUUUUGAGCAAAGAUACAUGAAAGACAGGGUGGACUCUCGAGGAUUUUGGCAAACUCAACCUGUAAGCUACUUCCCCAAUCCUUUCCUCUACCUGAUAUGGGCCAUAAUACCUUGCUGACAGCUUAGUGUUUCCCCUCAGAGCCAUUGAGUUCUGUCUAUAAGGUUGUAGCCGUAGGUAUACCCAAUCACCCACACUGAACUCCCUCUCACUCCUUUUUUCAUUAGCAUACUUCUUCAUCCUUUCCUGAGCCUGUUGCAGGUUCUGUUUCAACAUGAUAUCCAGAUGCUGCCUUUCCCUGAGAUAUUCCCCUACUGCAUUUACCUUGGACUGCAGGUAGGGCCCUAGAGCCAGUUGUGGAGGUGAGAAUCCAUAUAAUGCUUCAAAAGGAGUCAUUUGAAUGGCUGUGUGGUGCGAGGUGUUGUACCACCAUUCUGAUAAGGACAACCACUGUUUCCAUCUCUUAGGUUCCACAUGAGUUAGGCACCUGAGGUACAUUUCAAGCACCUGGUUCACCCUCUCAGUCUGGCCAUCAGUCUGAGGGUGGUAAGCUGUGCUGUAAUUUAGUUUGGCCCCCAUCAUACUGAACAACUCCCCCCAGAAUUGGCUUACAAAUAUCUUAUCCCUGUCUGAGAGCAUGCUUUGAGGAAUCCCAUGAAGUUUACUGAUAUGGUCAAUAAAGAGUCUGGCCACCUUAGGGGCAUCAAAAGGAUGUGCCAGGCUGAUGAAGUGAGAGUAUUUGGUGAAUCUGUCUACUACAACCAUUAUGGUAUCUUUUCCUUCUGACCGUGGUAGCCCUUCAAUAAAAUCCAUGGUAACAUGGCUCCAGGAGUGUUGAGGGAUAGGGAGUGGCUGAAGCAAUCCUGGGUAGGCUACAUGUUCAUCUUUGCACUUUCUGCAGGUAUCACAUUCUAGGACUGCCUUCUUGAUUUCCCUGUACAUCCCUGGCCAGUAGAAUAGCUGCUUGGCCCUCAGGUAGCUAGCUUGGAUGCCUGAAUGGCCUCCCAGUUGAGAGUCAUGCAGUGCAGUAAUGAGUUUCUUCCUGGUGUCACCUUGUCCUCCUAUGGCAAGUCUCUUCUUGUAUCUGAGGAUACCAUCUUGAUAGGAGUAAUCUGGAGCUAGUGUAGGAGUCAGAAGCACCAGGGAUAUGGUCUUCUGAGCCCACUCGUCUCCCUUAUAGCUUUCUAUUACUUCUUUGAUCCAUUCAGGUACUGCACAGGAAAUGGCAGUGCAUUCUCCCACUUCUUCUCUGCCUUGUCUGGAUAGUGCAUCUGCAGCCAGGUUAUCUUUUCCCUUUUUGUAGUGAAUUUCGUAGCUCAAUCCUAGCAGCUUAGUGAGCCAUUUCUGUUGGAGAGGGGUAGUAAUCCUUUGAUCCAGUAAGUACUUUAAACUCUGAUGAUCAGUAUGUAUGAUGAAGUGAUGCCCUUCUAGGUAGUGUCUCCAUUUGGUUACUGCUGUCACCAAUGCUAACAAUUCCUUCUCAUAGAUGGAUAGUCCCAUGUUCUUUUGUCCCAGAGCUUGACUGAGGUAGGAAAUUGGUCUCCUGUUUUGCAUGAGUACAGCUCCUAUGCCAGAGUAGCAAGCAUCUGUCUCAAUUAUGAAUGGCUGAGUGAAAUCAGGCACUGCUAGAACAGGGGUGGUACACAUGGCCUUCUUUAGUGUUUGGAAAGCCUGUUCUGAGUCCUUAUUCCAGUGAAAAUUGUCCUUCUUCAACAGCUCAGUCAGUGGCCUUGCUAUGGCGCCAUAGCCUCUAACAAACCUUCUGUAAUAACCUGUCAGUCCCAGAAAUCCCCUCAGCUGUUUGAUAUUGGUUGGGAUUGGCCAUUGUUCCAUGCAUUCUAUCUUUCUGGGGUCAGCCUGAACUCCCUCUGCUGUUAUUAUAUGCCCUAGGUACUCUACCUGCAGUUGAGCAAACGAGCAUUUGCUCAUUUUAGCAUAUAACUGGUGCUGUCUUAAGAUACUCAUUACCUCCUCUACAUGCUUCACAUGCUCCUCCAGUGUUGAGCUGUAGAUCAGGAUGUCAUCAAAAAACACCAGUACAUGCUUCCUCAUCUGAUCUUGGAAGACCUGGUUCAUCAAGCUUUGAAAAGUUGCUGGGGCAUUGGUUAAGCCAAAUGGCAUAACCUUGAACUCAUAAAGCCCUUGGUGAGUUCUGAAGGCUGUUUUUGAAAUGUCCUCCUCUUUGACUCUGAUUUGAAAGUAACCUGCCCUCAGGUCAAUUUUGGUGAAGAACUUGGCUCCAUGCAAUUCGUCUAUCAAUUCAUCAAUCAGAGGCAUAGGAAACUUGUUUUUCACUGUAAGUUCGUUUAGUUGCCUAUAAUCAACACAGAACCUCCAUGUCCCAUCUUUCUUCUUAACUAGUAGUACUGGUGAGGCAAAGGCUGCUAGGCUGUAUGAUGCCUAGUUCUAGCAUCUCCCUUACCAGUCUCUCAAUUUCUGUUUUCUGGAUGUAGGGGCACCUGUAUGGUCUUACUUGAAAAGGUUUGGCUCCUUCCUUAAGGUCAAUCUGGUGUUCAUGGCCCCUGGUUGGAGGCAUUCCCUUGGGCUCCUCGAAGACAUCCCUGUAAUGUUCAAGUACCUGUCUGAUCUCAGCAGGCAGCUGUGUUGCACUUCCUUCUUCUUCUACUGCCACCAGUUGAGCCACCACUCCAUAUGACUGUUUCCUCAGCCAUUUUGCCAACCUUCCUCCAUUGAGCCCCUUCAGUUUGGUGAUGUCCCCCUCCCCUUGUAGCACCACUUCUUGUCUCCCAUGGUGGAUUUUCAUACUGAGUUCUCUGAAAUUAAACUCUAUAGGACUAUGUUUGGCCAACCAGUCUACCCCAAGGAUCAUGUCGCAGCCCCCCAGCCUUAAUGUGUUGAAGGCAUGUUGGAACUGGUGACCCUUCAUUUCCCACUGUAAGGGCUUAUCUAGUCCCUUGGAAUCCACCUUCUCUCCAUUAGCUACAUUGACAACCAGGUUUGGUCCCUGAGUACCUAGUUUAAGAUCCCUUGUCAGUUGCUCAUCCAAAAAACAGUGGGUACUUCCACUGUCUAUUAAUGCAGUGACCAGUCUCCCUUUAACAAGACCCUUUAAUUUCAUAGUCCUGUGGCUUGUUCCCCCAGCCAAAGCAUGAAUAGAUACUUCCAUGUGUUCAUCUGUCAGUUCCCCAUUAAUGCAAUCACAGUAGACAUCCUCUUCUGGCUCUCUGACCUCUUCCCUAGACUCAGUCUCCUCAGCUAACAGGAAAUGCACAUGUGAUUGUUUGCAUACAUGGCCCAGGGUGUAAGGUUCAGCACACUUAUAACAUAGCCCCUUCUCUCUUCUCAGGUUAAAUUCUGUAGGGGAUAUUCUUUUGAAUUGGUUCUGGUUGGAUGUUUUCUGGUCAUGGUUCUGGUUGGUGUGUUUUGGGUGGUUUUGGUUCCAUCUGAGGGCUGGGGUUAUUUUAUUGGGAGGUCUAUGGUUGCUGAAACUGGUAGUAGCAGGUUUCUGCAUUUUCUGGAUAGCUUUGAGGUUUUUCUCUUGGAGUUUUGCUAUUUCAAUAGCAACAGCUAAGGUGUCAGGUUUGGACAUUUUGACCAUAUUAACUAUCUCCUCUUUCAGACCACUCAUGAAGCAUGCUUUGUAAUAAGAAUCAGACAAGUGAGGUAAGGAUGGCAUUACCAGGGCUUUAAGCAUUUCAAAUUUCUCGAGAUAGUCAGCCACGGAUCCAGUCUGCACCAACUUGUUGAAUUCUUCAAUGGCCUCCUCUGGACUCCCCUCUCCAAAUCUGAUGCUCAUAGCAGUAGACAACUCUGUCCAGGGAAUGGUCUCUCUCCCAUGGAAGACUCCAUGGAACCAGAUAUCAGCUCUGUCCCUGAAAUAGAGCUCAGCUACCUCCGCCUUCAUGUUCUCCUCUAUCUCAUGUAAUUUGAAGUAUUUGUUAGCCUUCCUGAUCCACUCUCUGGGGUUAUCCCCAUCGAAAAUUGGCAAAUCUAUUUUAGGCAAUCUUCCACUAACUCUGAUAUCUCUUUUACUGACUGUCUCCUUCUGCAAAUCCAUCCUGGAUUCGUUUGGCCUAUCCUCUCCCUUUGAACUGCUGCUUCCUUCUAACUCUUUUCCUCGAUCGCUGACUUUGGCCACUAGUUGAGCCAUCAUAUUCAUCAUCCCCUCAUACUUUUGAUCCAAACCUUUGAGCAGUUUUUCAGUAGCAUCCUGUCUGAAUUCCAUUGUCCUGAUGGCCUGUUCCAUUCCAUCAUUUUUGUUGGAAAAAGUCCUGACCACACUUCCUAGCUCCACCACGUCUCUCCUCAACGCUUCGUCUUGGUUUUUUGUCAUCCCUAUGGCUCGUGAUCGAGCUCUGAUACCACUGUUGUGGUACAGAACUGGAAAAUGAUGCAGGAACUGGAAAUAAUGGAAACUAAUCCAAAAGUAAGAUCUGGACUCAAGUCAAGAUGAAUUCGUAAAUCAAUCUCACUUUUAUUGAAUAAACUUCAAUGAUACAGAAAUGGGAAAUGGCGGGAAAAGGGAAGAAGGGGAAGAAGAAUGCAGGAAGUAACUUGGGGAGGAAACAAGGAUAUUCUCCUUCUGGUUACAAAUUCAAAAAUGGAAUUCAAUCCUAACAAUUACAUAAUUUCCCUUUUAAUAGAAAACUAAUCUAACUAACUCCUCCCACUUGCUAAUGAAACGGAAUUGCAUGUGAGGAGGAAUCUUCUGGAUGGUCUGGUGCAAUCGUAGCAAGGAUGGCAUGAACCCAGAGAAGGCGUGUUUUCCAGUUCACGCCUCCUGUGUUCCUCGCGCCUUUCCCUUCCUUGCUUUCACGCCUUCGUCUUCUUGAUGAAAUGCUGAUGAUCGUUCUGCUUAGUUCACGUCUUCUUCAUCCCACUUCACGCCUGAUC